Molecule: long non-coding RNA, 412 nt
Organism: Diachasma alloeum
Lineage: Eukaryota; Metazoa; Arthropoda; Insecta; Hymenoptera; Braconidae
Exons: 2
Source: RefSeq, a predicted model, not a curated record
UUUGCCCAUUGGAAGACAAGUAAAACCGAAUUGCAUUAGCUACUUCGUUUUCACUGUGGAAACAACCACCGAACAGUAUUGUUGGCUCACAAAAUAGUGAUGAAUACGUCGAAGAUAUUUUUCAUCGUGGCAGCUGUUGCUCUCAUCGGUUGUACCUUCGCUGCACCCAGUGGAGAGAACACAGAUUUGGAUGUGACUGAUCAAGGAAGGUGUCUAAAAAUCUCUGGAUACACACUAUGUGUCGGUGAUUUACCCCGGAUUUUCGAAAAAGCCCAGGAAUUCUUCGACGUGUGGAUUUGCGGUGUAUUCUCGUCGUUAUACCCAGCUGUGUUAUCCAUAUGUCCGAAAUAGAUAUAAUGGAACAUGUAAUCUGGUUUUCUGUCUGGAAUAAAAUCUACUGAGGACAUGAAAA